AACGGUCUAUACCUGCGGUACCUGCGGAAGGAUCAUUAUCAAUUUACAGCGGACUUCGGUCCUGUCUGCACCCUUGUCUUUUGCGUACUAUAUGUUUCCUCGGUGGGCUUGCCUGCCGAUAGGACACUUAUAAACUCUUUUGUAAUUGCAAUCAGCGUCAGAAAACUAUAAUAGUUACAACUUUCAGCAAUGGAUCUCU
Molecule: unclassified non-coding RNA, 199 nt
Filed under: soil metagenome
Description: partial contains 5.8S ribosomal RNA, internal transcribed spacer 2, and large subunit ribosomal RNA
Source: RNAcentral